Molecule: long non-coding RNA, 3182 nt
Organism: Myotis daubentonii (Daubenton's bat)
Lineage: Eukaryota; Metazoa; Chordata; Mammalia; Chiroptera; Vespertilionidae
Source: RefSeq, a predicted model, not a curated record
CAGUGCCAUCCUUCGUCUACAGGUUUAUUCCCUGCCCAACUUUCCACUUCUGUAACUGACUGUAACUUCAGUAACCUUUGUAAGGUCAGUACCUCUUGUGGUUGCUCCAGCAAAAGAAAGAAAAAGACCGACAGGCCAGUGUAAACCCAGCUAUCGGCUGAGGUGGCCUGGACCAGGGAGCAGCCCAGCAGACAAACUAGGAACCCACUCUAGACCCCAGUGAUCUCUGCACAGACGCAGAACUGGCUUCAUCCAAGCCUGGAGGGCGGUGUGCUGACCGUCCACUCCGACACUGACCUUUGGUUUGCCAGCCCGGUUGGUAACCAGCCUGAUGUCCUUCACGGUGCCAUGAGCCUUACAGAUCUCUUCGAGUUCCUCUUUAGUGCAGGAAAAGGGUAGGCCUGAGAUAAACAGCUUGUGCUUCUCCAGGGCGGUGCUGUACCUGAACACCUAGGAAGGAAGGAGGGGGAAAACCAACAAUUAGAAGCCCAGCCCAGCACACUGGCCACUCUCUGGCAGGCCCAGCCGGGCAGGCCAGAGCUGAGGCUGGGUGCUGGGAAUGGCUAACUGGGCAUGUCACUUACCACUUCCCUCUAUAGAAUGGCAGCAAUGAAAGUAGCUAUUCUCAGAGUUUGGGUGGGGAUCCCCUAAGGCAGUGGCUCUCAACCUUCCUAAUGCUGCGACCCUUUUAAUACAGCUCCUCAUGUUGUGGUGACCCCCAACCAUAAAAUUAUUUUCGUUGCUACUUCAUAACUGUAAUGUUGCUACUGUUAUGAAUCGUAAUGUAAAUACCUGACAUGCAGGAUGUAUUUUCAUUGUUACAAAUUGAACAUAAAGCAUAGUAAUUACAAAAACAAUAUGUAAUUAUAUAUUUAAUGUGUUUUCCGAUGGUCUUAGGCGACCCCUGUGAAAGUGUCAUUCGACCCCCAAAGGGGUCACGACCCACAGGUUGAGAACCGCUGCCCUAAGGUAAUACAUAAAACAUUUAGCACAGUCCCUUGUCACUCCUAUGCACUCACUGGACCAUCGCCAUUAUUACAAUUCCUCAUUUUAUGAUCAUGUAUCAGCUAAUGCAAGCUCCAAGUGACUGAGCCAUGAAUCAGACCUUAAUUAACCAGCUCAGAACAGUAUACUUAUUCAUGUAUGUUUGCAAUAUUAGUUGCUGCACCAAAAAACAAUAUUUAGUCAGUCUAUAGCAACCCUGCAUGAAAGCCACUCUUUUUCCCACAAACAUACCUUAAAUUCAGGAUUUUUGCUCUUAUCCACACAAGGGGAAACAAACAUUGGCCUCCCGCCUACAUUCUUCCGGUCCAACUCCAGCGCCUGCAGGGCCGACUUCUCCUCCUUGAACUCCACGUAGCAGUAGCCUCGGAAAUCGCCCCGGUUGCUGAAGAUGGGACGGACCUCGGCCACUUCCCCACAGGCCUCAAAGAGCGGCCGCAGCUUCACGUCCGGCUCCUCCAUGCUGUAGGGCAGGUUGCUGACAAAGACGGUGACGCUGUCCUUGCUGCUGUCGUGGGGCACCUUGGGCAUGUCCCUCUUCAGGGCGGCGGCGGCCCUCUCCUUCUGCUUUGAGUGGGGGGUGACGUCUGCAGAUGCGCUUUUCCCAAAGAGCCCCAUUUCCUCUUCCAGGUCUGGUGCUGCUUCUGCAGCUGCAGGAACGCUGUUCUCAAGCUUUCUGCGCUUGGAAGGCUGCUCUACAGGUUGUCGGGAGAAAAGCAGCAACAAUUAACUUUCCUCCUUCACUGAGCCGGUCCAUGUACGCGCUCUUCCCACUGCAGACAGCCAGUCCGCAGCAGCGGCACGUGACCAACACUCACUCCUCCCCGCUGACCUGCAAGCACCACACCUGCCAGGUCCAUCUUGGCCCAGAGGCUUGUCCCACCACGCUCUGGGCUCUGAUGACAUGCGGGUGAGGGGCUAACUCAAGUAGAAACAAGGCGCAACACUGAAACCCAUUUGGCAUUGGACCCCCACUUCCAGACCCUUCCACCAAGUUCCCACUGCUUCCUGAUGAAGUCUAACCCUGCACACUGUAUUCAAGAGCAUCCCUGAGUGGGGUCCGGCCAGCUGGCCUGCCUGCUGCUGCAGCUCACCACCCAUGCACCUGGCCCCCAGCAUGCAUCGGGGCACACACCCAGUCAUUUGCUGCUCAGAGCAAGUGCCAGGCUGUUUUGUGCCUCGUGCUGACACCAGCUCUGUCUGGCUUCCCUUCUUUCCCACUCAACAGUCACUCACUCCUCCCCGAUGCAAGGUGCACACAUCACUCAUGAACUCUUUCUUGCAGGAGCUGACCCACUCAUGCCUCCUUUGACUUCCACCAUAAUUCACAUCUAACCUGCCACAGUCCUGACCACACCACCGCAGUCACCUGGCACGUUUGCCUUAUCUGCUAAACCAGGAGCUGAGGGGCAAUGAGCUACUGUGGUCAUUUCUGAAGGCCCCAAAAAGGUGUGCAAGAAAGGUCAACUGAAUGAUGGCUCCAUUCCCAUUUCCCUCUGGCUGACAGCUUUGUACCAGGAAAAUGAACAGAGUUCCUUAAUGUCUGGAGACAAUUCUUUACCUUGACUGACUUUGCUGAAGUAAAUCUGACCGACACCUGCCCAUUCCUGAAGUGGCAUGGCUGACAGAAACACCAGCUGAAACUCUACUGACUCAAAACCAUAGGUGGGGGCAAGAAGGCAGGUGUCUGUGCAGUGGGCUAGGCCAGUGGUCGGGAAACUGCGGCUCACAAGCCACAUGCGGCUCUUUGGCCCCUUGAGUGUGGCCACGAAGUUUCAAUUGCACUGUACGUGCGCGCCCGCACGUGGUAUUUUGUGGAAGAGCCACACUCAAGGGGCCGCAGUUUGCCGACCACUGGGCUAGGCAAUGGUACGGGAUACUGCACCCUGGGCAGGAAGAAGGGGAUGUCAACACAUGGGACAGGGACAGCUUGGGGUACAGGAGCCCGUGGGGUGAGGACGGCACCACAGAGGGCAGUGGAGGCAGUAGAGCGCAGGUCCCUUGCAGGGCAGUACCUGGCACAGAGGUAGGCAGAGACAGGAAGGGUGAUGGGGUGUCUUGCCAGCACCUGUUCGCAAAUGGUUCAAGAAAAAAAGUUCUUUGUACUGUUUUUUGGGUUUUUUUGCAACUUCUCUGGAAGGUUGAGUUGUUCCAAAGCAAAAUUUCUGAAAAGCUUUACC